AGUCGACGGGAGCACGGACUUCGGUCUGGUGGCGAGUGGCGAACGGGUGAGUAAUACAUCGGAACGUGUCCUGUAGUGGGGGAUAGCCCGGCGAAAGCCGGAUUAAUACCGCAUACGCUCUACGGAGGAAAGGGGGGGAUCUUCGGACCUCUCGCUACCGGGGCGGCCGAUGGCAGAUUAGGUAGUUGGUGGGGUAAAGGCCUACCAAGCCGACGAUCUGUAGCUGGUCUGAGAGGACGACCAGCCACACUGGGACUGAGACACGGCCCAGACUCCUACGGGAGGCAGCAGUGGGGAAUUUUGGACAAUGGGCGCAAGCCUGAUCCAGCAUCUAUGCCGCGUGUGUGAAGAAGGCCUUCGGGUUGUUAAAAGCACUUUUGUUCCGGAAAAGAAAAACCUCUGCCCUAAAUACGGCGGGGGGAUUGACGGUACCCGGAAGAAUAAGCACCGGCUAACUACGUGCCCAGCAGCCGCGGUAAAUACGUAGGGGUGCAAGCGUUAAUUCGGAAUUUACUGGGCGUAAAAGCGUGCGCCAGGCGGUCCGCUAAGACAGAUGUGAAAUCCCCGGGCUUAACCCUGGGAACUGCAUUUGUGACUGGCGGGCUAGAGUAUUGGCAGAAGGGGGGGUAGAAUUCCACGGUGUAGCCAGUGAAAUGCGUAGAGAUGUGGAGGAAUAACCCGAUGGCGGAAGGCAGCCCCCCUUGGGCCCAAUACUUGACGCUUCAUGCACGAAAAGGCGUGGGGAGCAAACCAGGAUUAGAUACCCUGGUAGUCCCACGCCCUAAACGAUGUCAACUGGUUGUCGGGCCUUCAUUGGCUUGGUAACGUAGCUAACGCGUGAAGUUGACCGCCUGGGGAGUACGGUCGCAAGAUUAAAACUCAAAGGAAUUGACGGGGACCCGCACCAAGCGGUGGAUGAUGUGGAUUAAUUCGAUGCAACGCGAAAAACCUUACCUACCCUUGACAUGGUUCGGAUCCCUGCUGAGAGGUGGGGGUGCCCGAAAGGGAGCUGGUACACAGGUGCUGCAUGGCUGUCGUCAGCUCGUGUCGUGAGAUGUUGGGUUAAGUCCCGCAACGAGCGCAACCCUUGUCCCUAGUUGCUACGCAAGAGCACUCUAGGGAGACUGCCGGUGACAAACCGGGAAGGAAGGUGGGGAUGACGUCAAGUCCUCAUGGCCCUUAUGGGUAGGGCUUCACACGUCAUACAAUGGUCGGAACAGAGGGUCGCCAACCCGCGAGGGGGGAGCCAAUCCCAGAAAACCGAUCGUAGUCCGGAUCGCACUCUGCAACUCGGGUGCGUGAAGCUGGAAUCGCUAGUAAUCGCGGGAUCAGCAAUGCCGCGGUGGAAUACGUUCCCGGGUCUUGUACACACCGCCCGUCACACCAUGGGAGUGGGUUUUACCAGAAGUGGCUAGUCUAACCGCAAGGAGGACGGUCACCACGGUAGGAAUUCAUGACUGGGGUGAAGUCGUAACAAGGUAGCCGUAUCGGAAGGGCG
RNAcentral lists this ribosomal RNA (1498 nucleotides) under Burkholderia sp. A110B2. RNAcentral describes it as "bacterial SSU rRNA". It matches the Rfam family "Bacterial small subunit ribosomal RNA". Lineage: Bacteria; Pseudomonadati; Pseudomonadota; Betaproteobacteria; Burkholderiales; Burkholderiaceae. The record is from RNAcentral.